Molecule: ribosomal RNA, 586 nt
Filed under: uncultured bacterium
Lineage: Bacteria
Description: bacterial SSU rRNA
Rfam family: Bacterial small subunit ribosomal RNA
Source: RNAcentral
ACGGGUGAGUAAUACAUCGGAACGUGUCCUGGAGUGGGGGAUAGCCCGGCGAAAGCCGGAUUAAUACCGCAUACGCUCUAUGGAGGAAAGCGGGGGAUCUUCGGACCUCGCGCUCAAGGGGCGGCCGAUGGCAGAUUAGCUAGUUGGUGGGGUAAAGGCCUACCAAGGCGACGAUCUGUAGCUGGUCUGAGAGGACGACCAGCCACACUGGGACUGAGACACGGCCCAGACUCCUACGGGAGGCAGCAGUGGGGAAUUUUGGACAAUGGGGGCAACCCUGAUCCAGCAAUGCCGCGUGUGUGAAGAAGGCCUUCGGGUUGUAAAGCACUUUUGUCCGGAAAGAAAACCUCCGUCCUAAUACGGUGGGGGGAUGACGGUACCGGAAGAAUAAGCACCGGCUAACUACGUGCCAGCAGCCGCGGUAAUACGUAGGGUGCAAGCGUUAAUCGGAAUUACUGGGCGUAAAGCGUGCGCAGGCGGUUCGCUAAGACCGAUGUGAAAUCCCCGGGCUUAACCUGGGAACUGCAUUGGUGACUGGCGGGCUAGAGUAUGGCAGAGGGGGGUAGAAUUCCACGUGUAGCAGUGA